Molecule: non-coding RNA, 446 nt
Organism: Peromyscus maniculatus bairdii (prairie deer mouse)
Lineage: Eukaryota; Metazoa; Chordata; Mammalia; Rodentia; Cricetidae
Source: RefSeq, a predicted model, not a curated record
CUCUGACAUCCUGCAGUCAUUUGAAGACAGCACAUGCCAACUAGCAGCCAUCCCUCUGCCUGGACCCCAGUUGAACACAGUCUCAUGGACCAAAGACUUUGGCUUGAGUCAUUUAAUAUGAGAGUACCUUAAUGGGAUACCAGCAUCAUCUGCAGGGCAAGCACAAUGAUCCUCGCCUUUGUUUUAGCUCCUGAGAAAGGUCCAGAAGAAUGCGCAUGCCAAGCACACAUCAGGAGCUGACUAAAUGUUGUCACCAGGAACACUGUGAGUAGAGGUUUUGUAACAGCUCCAGAGAUUCCAGAGAUGAGGAAAUAAUUCAUUAAUCACCUCACACGUAGGACACAAAAGCAGAAAGAACGCUAAAGGACCUGCAACAGAUUAGCUGUGUUCAUGCUGGGAGAAGAAUUUGGCUUCAGAAAGUAAAAUAUCACCUGCUGUGUUAUUGA